RNAcentral lists this ribosomal RNA (476 nucleotides) under uncultured bacterium. Its description in RNAcentral is "partial 16S ribosomal RNA". It matches the Rfam family "Bacterial small subunit ribosomal RNA", at positions 28 to 507 of the family's 1533-position model. The record is from RNAcentral.
GAUGAACGCUGGCGGCGUGCUUAACACAUGCAAGUCGAACGGGAAACCUUUUAAUGAAGCUUCGGCAGAUUUAGCUGGUUUCUAGUGGCGGACGGGUGAGUAACGCGUGGGUAACCUGCCUUAUACAGGGGGAUAACAGUCAGAAAUGACUGCUAAUACCGCAUAAGCGCACAGGACCGCAUGGUCCGGUGUGAAAAACUCCGGUGGUAAGAUGGACCCGCGUUGGAUUAGCUUGUUGGUGGGGUAACGGCUCACCAAGGCGACGAUCCAUAGCCGGCCUGAGAGGGUGAACGGCCACAUUGGGACUGAGACACGGCCCAGACUCCUACGGGAGGCAGCAGUGGGGAAUAUUGCACAAUGGGGGAAACCCUGAUGCAGCGACGCCGCGUGAAGGAAGAAGUAUCUCGGUAUGUAAACUUCUAUCAGCAGGGAAGAUAGUGACGGUACCUGACUAAGAAGCCCCGGCUAACUACGUG